AACGCUAGCUACAGGCUUAACACAUGCAAGUCGAGGGGUAGCACGGAGGCAAGCUUGCUUCCUUGGGUGACGACCGGCGCACGGGUGAGUAACGCGUAUCCGACCUACCCAUAACACGGGCACAGCCGCUCGAAAGAGUGAUUGAUUCCCGAUAUGUCUUGUGAGUAGAUUGCAAGAUGAAAGAUUUAUCGGUUAUGGAUGGGGAUGCGUAAGAUUAGGUAGUAGGCGGGGUAACGGCCCACCUAGCCGACGAUCUUUAGGGGUUCUGAGAGGAAGGUCCCCCACACUGGUACUGAGACACGGACCAGACUCCUACGGGAGGCAGCAGUGAGGAAUAUUGGUCAAUGGGCGGAAGCCUGAACCAGCCAAGUAGCGUGAAGGAUUACAGCCCUACGGGUUUUAAACUUCUUUUAUAUGAGAGUAAUGUGCGCUACGUGUAGCGUAUUGCAAGUAUCAUAUGAAUAAGCAUCGGCUAACUCCGUGCCAGCAGCCGCGGUAAUACGGAGGAUGCGAGCGUUAUCCGGAUUUAUUGGGUUUAAAGGGAGCGUAGGCGGGAUAUUAAGUCAGUCGUCAAAGCCUGUGGCUCAACCACAGCCCGCGAUUGGUACUGGUAACCUUGAGUGCGGAUGAGGUGGAUGGAAUUCGUGGUGUAGCGGUGAAAUGCUUAGAUAUCACGAAGAACUCCGAUUG
This 690-nucleotide ribosomal RNA is filed under the name uncultured bacterium. RNAcentral's name for it is "bacterial SSU rRNA". It matches the Rfam family "Bacterial small subunit ribosomal RNA", at positions 32 to 715 of the family's 1533-position model. The record is from RNAcentral.